This 440-nucleotide ribosomal RNA is filed under the name uncultured bacterium. RNAcentral's name for it is "partial 16S ribosomal RNA". It matches the Rfam family "Bacterial small subunit ribosomal RNA", at positions 338 to 795 of the family's 1533-position model. The record is from RNAcentral.
CCUACGGGAGGCAGCAGUGGGGAAUAUUGCACAAUGGGGGGAACCCUGAUGCAGCGACGCCGCGUGAGUGAAGAAGUAUUUCGGUAUGUAAAGCUCUAUCAGCAGGGAAGAAAAUGACGGUACCUGACUAAGAAGCCCCGGCUAACUACGUGCCAGCAGCCGCGGUAAUACGUAGGGGGCAAGCGUUAUCCGGAUUUACUGGGUGUAAAGGGAGCGUAGACGGUUAUGGAAGUCUGAAGUGAAAGCCCAAGGCUCAACCAUGGGACUGCUUUGGAAACUGAGAGACUGGAGUGCAGGAGAGGGAACCGGAAUUCCGGGUGUAGCGGUGAAAUGCGUAGAUAUUGGGAGGAACACCAGUGGCGAAGGCGGGUUACUGGACAGUAACGGACGUGGAGGCACGAAGGCUAGGGGAGAAAAAGGGAUUAGAUACCCCAGUAGUC